GACGAACCGUGCGAACGUUGUUCGGAAUCACUGGGCUUAAAGGGUGCGUAGGCGGGCUCGUGAGUCAGGGGUGAAAUCCCACGGCCCAACCGUGGAAGUGCCUCUGAUACCGCGGGCCUUGAGGGGGAUAGGGGCGUGCGGAACUUCCGGUGGAGCGGUGAAAUGCGCAGAUAUCAGGAAGAACACCAAUGGCGAAAGCAGCUCUCUGGGACGGUACUGACGCUGAGACGCGAAAGCGUGGGGAGCGAACAGG
RNAcentral lists this ribosomal RNA (253 nucleotides) under uncultured bacterium. RNAcentral's name for it is "partial 16S ribosomal RNA". It matches the Rfam family "Bacterial small subunit ribosomal RNA", at positions 524 to 776 of the family's 1533-position model. The record is from RNAcentral.